AACGAACGCUGGCGGCAUGCCUAACACAUGCAAGUCGAACGAGAUCUUCGGGUCUAGUGGCGCACGGGUGCGUAACGCGUGGGAAUCUGCCCUUUGGUUCGGAAUAACAGUUGGAAACGACUGCUAAUACCGGAUGAUGACGAAAGUCCAAAGAUUUAUCGCCAGAGGAUGAGCCCGCGUAGGAUUAGCUAGUUGGUGUGGUAAAGGCGCACCAAGGCGACGAUCCUUAGCUGGUCUGAGAGGAUGAUCAGCCACACUGGGACUGAGACACGGACCAGACUCCUACGGGAGGCAGCAGUGGGGAAUAUUGGACAAUGGGCGAAAGCCUGAUCCAGCAAUGCCGCGUGAGUGAUGAAGGCCUUAGGGUUGUAAAGCUCUUUUACCCGGGAUGAUAAUGACAGUACCGGGAGAAUAAGCUCCGGCUAGCUCCGUGCCAGCCGCCGCGGUAA
RNAcentral lists this ribosomal RNA (449 nucleotides) under uncultured bacterium. RNAcentral describes it as "partial 16S ribosomal RNA". It matches the Rfam family "Bacterial small subunit ribosomal RNA", at positions 29 to 523 of the family's 1533-position model. The record is from RNAcentral.